This 207-nucleotide ribosomal RNA is filed under the name uncultured bacterium. RNAcentral's name for it is "partial 16S ribosomal RNA". It matches the Rfam family "Bacterial small subunit ribosomal RNA", at positions 568 to 774 of the family's 1533-position model. The record is from RNAcentral.
AGCGCAGGCGGCCAAGUCAGUCUGAAGUGAAAGCCCGGGGCUUAACCCCGGAAUAGCUUUGGAUACUGCCUGGCUUGAGUGUGCGAUAGGAAAGCGGAAUUCCAGGUGUAGCAGUGAAAUGCGUAGAUAUCUGGAGGAACACCGGUGGCGAAAGCGGCUUUCUGGCGCAUAACUGACGCUGAGGCUCGAAAGCGUGGGGAGCGAACG